Molecule: ribosomal RNA, 484 nt
Filed under: uncultured bacterium
Lineage: Bacteria
Description: partial 16S ribosomal RNA
Rfam family: Bacterial small subunit ribosomal RNA
Source: RNAcentral
AUUGAACGCUGGCGGCAUGCUUUACACAUGCAAGUCGAACGGCAGCGCGGGCUUCGGCCUGGCGGCGAGUGGCGAACGGGUGAGUAAUACAUCGGAACGUGCCCAGUAGUGGGGGAUAGCUCGGCGAAAGCCGGAUUAAUACCGCAUACGACCUGAGGGUGAAAGCGGGGGAUCUUCGGACCUCGCGCUAUUGGAGCGGCCGAUGGCAGAUUAGCUAGUUGGUGGGGUAAAGGCCUACCAAGGCGACGAUCUGUAGCUGGUCUGAGAGGACGACCAGCCACACUGGGACUGGGACACGGCCCAGACUCCUACGGGAGGCAGCAGUGGGGAAUUUUGGACGAUGGGCGAAAGCCUGAUCCAGCAAUGCCGCGUGUGUGAUGAAGGCCUUCGGGUUGUAAAGCACUUUUGGCGGGAACGAAAAGGACUGUGCCAAUACCACGGUUCGAUGACGGUACCCGCAGAAUAAGCACCGGCUAACUACGUG